GUUAACGUAGCUUAACUCAAAGCAUAACACUGAAGAUGUUAAGAUGAGCCCUAGAAAGCUCCGUAGACA
RNAcentral lists this transfer RNA (69 nucleotides) under Minous monodactylus (grey stingfish). RNAcentral describes it as "tRNA-Phe". It matches the Rfam family "tRNA". From Rfam's summary of the family: Transfer RNA (tRNA) molecules are approximately 80 nucleotides in length. Their secondary structure includes four short double-helical elements and three loops (D, anti-codon, and T loops). Lineage: Eukaryota; Metazoa; Chordata; Actinopteri; Perciformes; Synanceiidae. The record is from RNAcentral.